Molecule: ribosomal RNA, 160 nt
Filed under: uncultured fermented cassava bacterium M10
Lineage: Bacteria; Bacillati; Bacillota
Description: partial 16S small subunit ribosomal RNA
Rfam family: Bacterial small subunit ribosomal RNA
Source: RNAcentral
UAGGGAAUCUUCCACAAUGGMCGMAAGYCUGAUGGAGCAACGCCGCGUGAGUGAAGAAGGGUUUCGGCUCGUAAAACUCUGUUGUUAAAGAAGAACAUAUCUGAGAGUAACUGUUCAKGUAUUGACGGUAUUUAACCAGAAAGSCACGGCUAACUACGUG